This 3413-nucleotide long non-coding RNA is filed under the name Ananas comosus (pineapple). RNAcentral's name for it is "long non-coding RNA (ACOM_LNC027351)". The record is from RNAcentral. Lineage: Eukaryota; Viridiplantae; Streptophyta; Magnoliopsida; Poales; Bromeliaceae.
CUUCAGGGUGUUCGAUAAGGACCAGAACGGCUUCAUCUCUGCUGCCGAGCUCCGCCACGUCAUGACCAACCUCGGGGAGAAGCUAACUGAUGAGGAGGUUGACGAGAUGAUCCGCGAGGCUGAUGUUGAUGGUGACGGCCAGAUCAACUAUGAGGAGUUCGUCAAGGUCAUGAUGGCCAAGUGAAAUCAAAAUGUAUAAUAUUUUAAAAGAAGGAAUGGGGAAAUUUAUUUCGUGGCAGAUUUAUUCAAAUGCGCGAGAUUAUUUCCUCCUCUUCUGCUGCGUAGUUAUCUGGAUAGGGUAGUUGUGAAACGGAAGAAGGACGAUGACUCUGUGUUUGACUCCCUCUCUUCCCUGCUUGUCUUUGGAUUAUAUUGUUAAUCCCUGUUUCUGUGAAUGUUUUAUGUUUGUUUCAUCUUGGAAGUGGAUUUUGCAUAUGCAGUAUGCUAGUUAUAUGUUCAUCUUCGUUAUAACUAUAAUUUCUGAUGAAUCACUUUUUGCAGUAUUUCUUUCGUCAUGCUGCUGCCCAUUUGGUUUUAAUAGCUGAACUGCUCAGUUUCAUGAUGAUGCAUAUAUAUAGUUCUCCUUGCAUUGUUGGCAUCUCUUGUAGUGUGAUAUCUUGGCUUUUAAUGUGCAAAUCACACAUCAGCAAAGUGCAAUAUUUUUAUGAUUCUGUGAUUUUUAAAUGUUAAAAUAUCAUGCUUCUCGACUGUUAUUUUUGCUGUUGAUUGUUACUCAUGAAAACCAUGGUGGAAUGUUCUUAUCUAUGACUUCUACUUUAUCACUUUGUUUGUUUUAUAUUUUACCACCUUAUCAUGGAUAUCUAUUUCCUUAGGAAGAUCAACCAUUUCAUUUUAAUGUAAAUUAUUAUUAUUAUUAUUAUUAUUAUUAUUAUUAUGUUGCUGAAGUUGAGAAGAUCAAUCGAUCAACCUGCAUUGAGCUUUGAAAAGCAUCUCCUAACCUUCUAGGAAUCUCUUUUACAAUAGAGAAAUGAUAUUCACAGUUCUUUGACUUGCAUAUCAAAUUUGAUGGUGUUUUAUGAUUGGUAGAAAUGGUAGUGUGCUUUGUGUACGAAGAAAUAAUAAUAUGCAGAGAAUAUCACAAGGCGGGUAGUUGGAAGGGCAAUGAAUUUGGAAGGUGCUGUGGUAGGUAGCAACUACUUUACUCUGUUUUUUCUAUCAAUGUUACAAUCUCCCUCUUUUGGUGCUUGUGCUUAUAGUUGUUGAUAAUAUAGGAGGAAUGGGGAGCAAGGAGAAGAAGAUGAAGACACUCUGCCUUCAUGGCUUCCGAACUAGUGGGAGCUUCUUGCAAAAGCAAAUCAGCAAGUGGGAUCCAUCCAUCUUCCAAGAAUUCGACUUGGUGAGCUCUCUCUCUCUCUCUCUCUCUCUCUCUCUCUGAAGGAUGCAUUAAUAAAAUAAAGAAUAGAGGAUCAACUAAGUUGUUCGCUAUGUGAUGUUGAUAGUUUUCUUCACUCCGGAUUCUAAAUCAUUACACGAUUAGACCUGAGCAAAAUCCACGCCGGUCUGAUUUUAGAUCGGCUGUGCGAAGCUCUAAAUGACCGAAUUAGGUCGUGUUGGGCUAAGUUAGAAAGUUAGAAUCCUGAGUGGCCUCCUCAAGAUUUUCUCAAAUCAAUCUACACCAUCAACUGGGUCAGCCCGAACCGGCGGGGCUAGAGUUUUUUCACUUCUAUUCAUGAUUACUGAUUAUUGAAUCUCUGAAUGAGCUUUCUUUCUUAUUUUAUAGUGCAUCCUUACUGUGAGCUGAACUUCUUUGUUUCGAAAUCAUUUUGAUUUUCAUCGUCGUUUAGGUCUUCCCUGAUGGGCUCUUUCCAGCAGGAGGGAAAUCGGAUAUAGAGGACAUAUUCCCCCCGCCCUAUUUUGAGUGGUACCAAUUCAACAAGGUGGGUGCAGAAUAAGUAUAUGUUAAUAGUACAAUACAUUUAAGUUUCCCACAAGAUAUACAAAGAAACACUUGAGUUAGAGUUCUCUAUUAGUUUAAGUGUUUUAGGUUGAUUGCUUCGCGCAGAAUCGAUUAAUGUAGGCAUUUGGUACAAUAUUUGAUUGCCCAAUCCAUUAUUCUACAUCAAAAUUUCCACUUAGUUAUUUAGUUCAUGGGAAACCACAUAUGAUGAACAACAUGUUUUCUAUUCUUAGGCAUCUAAUACAGUAGUUAUCAUUUAAUAUGGCUUGAUACAUGCGACUUAAUUUUUGUGGCGUAUAUGGCAAACAGGAUUUCACGGAAUACACGAAUCUUGAUGAAUGUAUUUCUUACUUGUGCGAUUACAUGACAAAAAAUGGCCCUUUUGAUGGACUGCUUGGUUUCUCACAGGUAUAACUUCUACGCUUUAACCAGUGUAAUACAUCUUAUUUUUUUACCGUUAUUUUUAUUUGAAAUUGUAAAAUUUAGUUUGCGAUGCAUUAAUAUUACAUGCCAAAAAUAUUAACCAACCCUACCCCUACAUAAGCAUCCAUGAGUCUUUGUUCAAACUUUUUAGUGAUGUUUCAUUUCAAUCUGACAAACUUGUUUUUUUUUUUUUCUUUACCCUAAUAUUUCCGCAUUGAAUCAGGGUGCGACGCUAUCGGCACUUUUGGCCGGCUAUCAAGCACAGGUACGUUACUACUCCAAGAUAAGAUAAGAAUAGAAGAGAUAAUUGCAAACAAUAUCCCUAGUUACUACCAGUGAAUGUUAAUAUUCUGUGUGCAUGGUACUUUCCGGAACAAAAAAAAAAAAAACACAUCUAACCCUAACAGUGCAAACAAUCUAGUACCAAAUCCAUCUCAUGUUGCAUCAUUUAUUCUCAUACAACAGGGCAAGGUACUGAGUGACCACCCACCAAUAAAAUUUGUGAUCUCAAUCUCUGGGUCCAAAUUUAGAGACCCAAAUAUUUGUGAUGUUGCAUACAAGGAACCCAUCAAGGUUAAGUCCGCGCAUCUGAUCGGGGACAAAGAUUGGCUCAAAAUUCCCUCUGAGGAGCUCGCAACUGCAUUUGACAACCCUCUGAUUCUAAGACACCCACAGGGCCACACUGUCCCCAGGCUAGGUUUGAAAUUUCCUGCUUAAAAUUGCUUACUUUUUUGCUUGCAUGUAUUUGAAAUAGAUAAACAUGUACUUGUUUUAAAUCAAUGUAUAAUAUUUUACUAUAAUGUUUUGUUGGAAGCUAAUUUAUACCCUUCAGAUAAAGGCCCUUUUUAUUCCCUUUUUUAUACCCUGAAUAUAGGAUAUAAUCUUGAAUUCUUGAUGUUGACAGAUAAGAUUCAUUGAACUUGUUUUCGCUAUUUGAAUUUAAACAGAUUCAAUCAAUCUAAUUUGCUGCUGUCAGAAAAGCUUACCUUUCGGUCUAACGGCAGAAAGAUGAAUAACUGCAGAUGAGGCAGCAGUGAGGCAUCUUUGUGAGUGGACUACAAGCGUUCUGGGC